UACAGAGGGUGCGAGCGUUGUUCGGAAUUACUGGGCGUAAAGCGCGCGCAGGCGGCCCUUAAGUCUGUCGGUCAAACGCCGGGGCUCAACCCCGUGCUCGCCGGAGAUACUGGAGGGCUGGAGACACGUAGAGGCAAGCGGAAUUCCGGGUGUAGCGGUGGAAUGCGUAGAGAUCCGGAAGAACACCGGAGGCGAAGGCGGCUUGCUGGGCGUUGUCUGACGCUGAGGCGCGAAAGCGUGGGGAGCGAACAGG
RNAcentral lists this ribosomal RNA (253 nucleotides) under uncultured bacterium. Its description in RNAcentral is "partial 16S ribosomal RNA". It matches the Rfam family "Bacterial small subunit ribosomal RNA", at positions 524 to 776 of the family's 1533-position model. The record is from RNAcentral.